GACGAACGCUGGCGGCGUGCUUAACACAUGCAAGUCGAACGGAAAGGCCCUGCUUUUGUGGGGUGCUCGAGUGGCGAACGGGUGAGUAACACGUGAGUAACCUGCCCUUGACUUUGGGAUAACUUCAGGAAACUGGGGCUAAUACCGGAUAGGAGCUCCUGCUGCAUGGUGGGGGUUGGAAAGUUUCGGCGGUUGGGGAUGGACUCGCGGCUUAUCAGCUUGUUGGUGGGGUAGUGGCUUACCAAGGCUUUGACGGGUAGCCGGCCUGAGUGGGUGACCGGCCACAUUGGGACUGAGAUACGGCCCAGACUCCUACGGGAGGCAGCAGUGGGGAAUAUUGCACAAUGGGCGGAAGCCUGAUGCAGCAACGCCGCGUGCGGGAUGACGGCCUUCGGGUUGUAAACCGCUUUCGCCUGUGACGAAGCGUGAGUGACGGUAAUGGGGAAAGAAGCACCGGCUAACUACGU
This 467-nucleotide ribosomal RNA is filed under the name uncultured bacterium. RNAcentral's name for it is "partial 16S ribosomal RNA". It matches the Rfam family "Bacterial small subunit ribosomal RNA", at positions 28 to 506 of the family's 1533-position model. The record is from RNAcentral.